GCCGGGGUGGUGGAAUUGGUAGACACGCACGUUUGAGGGGCGUGUGGGGUGACCCUUACGAGUUCGAGUCUCGUUCCCGGCACCA
RNAcentral lists this transfer RNA (85 nucleotides) under Synergistaceae bacterium. RNAcentral's name for it is "tRNA-Leu". It matches the Rfam family "tRNA". From Rfam's summary of the family: Transfer RNA (tRNA) molecules are approximately 80 nucleotides in length. Their secondary structure includes four short double-helical elements and three loops (D, anti-codon, and T loops). Lineage: Bacteria; Thermotogati; Synergistota; Synergistia; Synergistales; Synergistaceae. The record is from RNAcentral.